RNAcentral lists this ribosomal RNA (497 nucleotides) under uncultured bacterium. RNAcentral's name for it is "partial 16S ribosomal RNA". It matches the Rfam family "Bacterial small subunit ribosomal RNA", at positions 28 to 507 of the family's 1533-position model. The record is from RNAcentral.
GAUGAACGCUGGCGGCGUGCCUAAUACAUGCGAGUCGAGCGAACAGACGAGGAGCUUGCUCCUCUGACGUUAGUGGCGGACGGGUGAGUAACACGUGGAUAACCUACCUAUAAGACUGGGAUAACUUCGGGAAACCGGAGCUAAUACCGGAUAAUAUAUUGAACCGCAUGGUUCAAUAGUGAAAGACGGUUUUGCUGUCACUUAUAGAUGGAUCCGCGCCGCAUUAGCUAGUUGGUAAGGUAACGGCUUACCAAGGCAACGAUGCGUAGCCGACCUGAGAGGGUGAUCAGCCACACUGGAACUGAGACACGGUCCAGACUCCUACGGGAGGCAGCAGUAGGGAAUCUUCCGCAAUGGGCGAAAGCCUGACGGAGCAACGCCGCGUGAGUGAUGAAGGUCUUCGGAUCGUAAAACUCUGUUAUUAGGGAAGAACAAAUGUGUAAGUAACUAUGCACGUCUUGACGGUACCUAAUCAGAAAGCCACGGCUAACUACGUG